AUGCGAAAAAGAAACUGGCCGGGAAAUCCAACUUGCUCCUUUUGCCGAGAUGUGGAAACCACUGAUCAUCUUUUCUUUGGGUGUGUAUUUGCUCGCUCGGUUUGGGGGGCUUUUGGUACAUCCUGCUGUCCCAAAUAUCUUUGGCAUAGUUGGGCUUGGCUGUACAAGUAUCUCCCAGGGGCAAAAGGCAUUAUAUGUCCAUUAUUGCUGAUAUAUGUUGGGGGAUCUGGUGCACUCGUAACAAAGCGACCUUUGAGAAUCGUACCAUUCGUUCUCCGUUGGAGGCUAUUUUCACUGCUUGUUCCUUUUUGA
Molecule: ribosomal RNA, 312 nt
Filed under: Triticum aestivum (bread wheat)
Lineage: Eukaryota; Viridiplantae; Streptophyta; Magnoliopsida; Poales; Poaceae
Description: partial small subunit ribosomal RNA
Source: RNAcentral